Molecule: ribosomal RNA, 468 nt
Filed under: uncultured bacterium
Lineage: Bacteria
Description: partial 16S ribosomal RNA
Rfam family: Bacterial small subunit ribosomal RNA
Source: RNAcentral
GGCGAACGCUGGCGGCGUGCUUAACACAUGCAAGUCGAACGGAGAGGCCCUGCUUUUGUGGGGUGCUCGAGUGGCGAACGGGUGAGUAACACGUGAGUAACCUGCCCUUGACUUUGGGAUAACUUCAGGAAACUGGGGCUAAUACCGGAUAGGAGCUCCUGCUGCAUGGUGGGGGUUGGAAAGUUUCGGCGGUUGGGGAUGGACUCGCGGCUUAUCAGCUUGUUGGUGGGGUAGUGGCUUACCAAGGCUUUGACGGGUAGCCGGCCUGAGAGGGUGACCGGCCACAUUGGGACUGAGAUACGGCCCAGACUCCUACGGGAGGCAGCAGUGGGGAAUAUUGCACAAUGGGCGGAAGCCUGAUGCAGCAACGCCGCGUGCGGGAUGACGGCCUUCGGGUUGUAAACCGCUUUCGCCUGUGACGAAGCGUGAGUGACGGUAAUGGGUAAAGAAGCACCGGCUAACUACGUG